RNAcentral lists this small RNA (28 nucleotides) under Bombyx mori (domestic silkworm). RNAcentral's name for it is "ovarian small RNA-33699". The record is from RNAcentral. Lineage: Eukaryota; Metazoa; Arthropoda; Insecta; Lepidoptera; Bombycidae.
UGCCAUCAUUGGUUGUUCCUACUCCUUG